UUUUUUUUACAUUGAGAAAAAUCCAUUAAUUACUUUAAAAUGCAGCAAGUUUAAGAAAAAAAAAGGAAAUACAUCAGAUGGGUAGAUAGAUUCUUAACAAAGUUGUAAUCUAUGUAAUUGUCAUACUCUCCAUGGGAAAACAUGACUUUUUCAAAGUCAAUCAUUUCUCAAUCUGCCAUUAGAAUAAGGCAAAAAAAAGAAAUCAUUUUUAUUAUAAGUGAAGUAAUACAGCAUUAUUUAAAAACAUAGACCCACAAUAACCGAUUAGAUAUUUUUUUAUGUGUCGUGACAUGAAAACAUGUCAUUUAUUUUUAGAAUUUUAGAAUCUAUGCCAGACAGCUCCCCUGACUGCAGAAAGGAGGAACAGAAACAUAGGUUUCUAUUCCUAUUGGACACCUCAAUUAAGGACACAGGUUAUGAAGAUUAACUGGCCUUCCCUCAUGUUUCUGUCCUUUUAUUCCAUAGAAUGAGUGUUCU
RNAcentral lists this long non-coding RNA (477 nucleotides) under Marmota monax (woodchuck). Lineage: Eukaryota; Metazoa; Chordata; Mammalia; Rodentia; Sciuridae. The record is from RNAcentral.